ACGCGCUCGGCCCUGUCGGGGGCUCACGUGGGGGGGGAUCCUUGCAGGUGGGAGUCGAGAGCGUUUCCUAGCGCCCGAGCCAUGGUGGCCAAACAGCGCAUCCGGAUGGCUAACGAGAAGCACAGCAAAAAUAUCACCCAGAGGGGGAAUGUAGCCAAAACCCUGAGGCCGCAAGAAGAGAAAUAUCCUGUGGGCCCAUGGCUGUUGGCACUGUUUGUUUUUGUUGUCUGCGGCUCAGAACAUGUGCGCUGUCCAGAGGUUCCAGAUGGACGGCCAUUCUCGGUCUGCUCCCAGGUGGAUAAAGCCCUUGACCCAGCCAUGGGCUGCUUCUUGACUGGGCCACCGGGGUGCUCUAUCCCCUUGCUCUGUCCUGGACACUUGCUCCAGGACAAAUUUGAAUUCACCGUGUUUGCAGGUCGACCACAUAAGCACUGGCCUUUCCUGGAGACUGCCCGAACUAUCUUGAAAUUGUGACACCCAGAGGGAGUCACAGCCCCAAGACUGGCAAGUUUGAGGAACUGAGCAGCCCUGGGAGAAACCUUUCCGUUUCACCACAAAGGAAAGCUUGAGGACAUGCGUCUGCUCUGGAACUCCUGCCUCAGGAUCUGAGAUGGACGGUCUGGAAGAGAUGUCUCAUCAGCCAUGGGCUCCCUCAAGCUAUCUUCCAGAUCAUUCAGAGCAUAAGGAUGGGCAUGUGAGCAGGCUGGGCUCUGACACGGCCCCCUGCCGCUGGAGGGUGGAGGCCACUUCAGCUCUUAGCCGGGUAUCUGUGGGAAGCUGACAAGCCACCCAGAAGAGAAAAAAAGGCUCCCUCAACUGUUCCCUGAUCACUUCAUCGUGGAUGUCAGACCAAAUUUCUUUCUCACAGGACAUCUCGGUACAUCUGUGUUCUCAAGCGGAAAGGACAUUUUGCUUUGCAGUUGGCAGGAUUGGUAGCUCUCCGGGUGUCUGCAGCAGAGCUGUCUGUCUGCUUUUGCCCUGGGUUUCACUGAUGUCUGCAUGUGGGCUUCUGAAUGAUCACCGCUUUACUUUUUAUGGAUACAAGCUCUGCUCCAUUGGGAAUUGCUUUUACAAAUAAAUGUCUU
Eubalaena glacialis (North Atlantic right whale) is the source of this 1085-nucleotide RNA transcript. It is a transcript of the gene named stress associated endoplasmic reticulum protein family member 2, with no coding region annotated. The record is from RefSeq and is a predicted model, not a curated record. Lineage: Eukaryota; Metazoa; Chordata; Mammalia; Artiodactyla; Balaenidae. The transcript has 4 exons.